UAAGGAGACUGCCGGUGACAAACCGGAAGAAGGUGGGGAUGACGUCAAGUCAUCAUGGCCCUUACGGCCUGGGCUACACACGUGCUACAAUGGUCGGUACAAAGGGUUGCCAAGCCGCGAGGUGGAGCUAAUCCCAUAAAACCGACUACGUAGUCCGGAUCGCAGUCUGCAACUCGACUGCGUGAAGUCGGAAUCGCUAGUAAUCGUGAAUCAGAAUGUCACGGUGAAUACGUUCCCGGGCCUU
Molecule: ribosomal RNA, 244 nt
Filed under: uncultured Pseudomonas sp.
Lineage: Bacteria; Pseudomonadati; Pseudomonadota; Gammaproteobacteria; Pseudomonadales; Pseudomonadaceae
Description: partial 16S ribosomal RNA
Rfam family: Bacterial small subunit ribosomal RNA
Source: RNAcentral